CCUUCUCUUGAGAGGCAGGCGGGCCCUAGCUGCAGCGUCAAGGUCUGGGGAUUCUGUGGCUCUGUAGGGUGAAGGGCACUGGAGACCUACCAGGGGCUGGGCCAUUGGAGUGGUGGGUGCUGGGGAGCUUCCGUGGGCCCCUCCAGGUCCACUCCUUGCUCUUCUCUGCCUUGUUUUGUGCCCAGAAGGCUGACCUGUGUGGAUGCAUUAUCAGGGUGGAUGCAACACAGGGCUGCCAUGCUCUCUGGUAUCAGUUUGGAAGGCACUGGCAGGAUGGGAAGGCAGGCGGGGAGUGAGGUCAGGGGGCCUAUCCUUCCACUGCCUCCCUGCUGCUCCCUGACUGAUUCAGAGCCAGUCUUGGUGCUCUGUGUUCACCUGGUUCAUCUGAGGAGCUGCAUCUACCCUGCCCAUGCCAUAGAUCCUGCCCUGUUUGCUUCUCCUGUUGCUGCUAGUGGACAUGAGAAGGACAGAAUAACGGGCUCCCAGAUUCACAAGCCCCACCAAGAGGAUCACCCCAGGAACGCUUGGAGGCUGAGGAGUUCACUGAGGCUACUGCAUCUUGAGACUCAGGAUGAAGACCCAGCUUGGGGCUGUCAAAGGUUUUUUGCAUGUCUGACACCCAUGACUCCACCUGGACCUUAUGGCUCCACCCAGAAGCAAUUCAGCCCAACAGGAGGACAGCUUCAACCCAUUACGAUUUCAUCUCUGCCCCAACCACUCAGCAGCAAGCACCUGUUACCUGUCCACCCCCACCCCUUCCCCCAAACUGCCUUUGAAAAAUCCCUAACCUAUGAGCUUUGAAUAAGAUGAGUACGAACUUCAUCGCCCACGUGGCGUGGCCGGCCUCGUGUCUAUUAAAUUCUUUUUCUACUACAA
This 876-nucleotide long non-coding RNA is filed under the name Homo sapiens (human). RNAcentral's name for it is "Pvt1 oncogene". The stretch from base 463 to 599 matches the Rfam family "Pvt1 oncogene conserved region 7". Lineage: Eukaryota; Metazoa; Chordata; Mammalia; Primates; Hominidae. The record is from RNAcentral.